UGUUUCGGCUAGGGGGCCAUCCCGGCUUACCAACCCGAUGCAAACUGCGAAUACCGGAGAAUGUUAUCACGGGAGACACACGGCGGGUGCUAACGUCCGUCGUGAAGAGGGAAACAACCCAGACCGCCAGCUAAGGUCCCAAAGUCAUGGUUAAGUGGGAAACGAUGUGGGAAGGCCCAGACAGCCAGGAUGUUGGCUUAGAAGCAGCCAUCAUUUAAAGAAAGCGUAAUAGCUCACUGGUCGAGUCGGCCUGCGC
Molecule: ribosomal RNA, 256 nt
Filed under: Salmonella enterica subsp. enterica serovar Thompson
Lineage: Bacteria; Pseudomonadati; Pseudomonadota; Gammaproteobacteria; Enterobacterales; Enterobacteriaceae
Also listed under: 3 other names
Description: partial 23S ribosomal RNA
Rfam family: Bacterial large subunit ribosomal RNA
Source: RNAcentral